CCCCACUGCUAUCGGGAUAGGACUAAGACAUGCUAGUUGAGCGUUUCCCAGCCAACACGGAGACGCAGCGCACAGCUCAGUAACACGCGGUUAAUCUGCCCUUGGGACCGGAACCACCCCCGGGAAACUGGGGCUAAUUCUCGAUAGGUGAAGAACUCUGGAAUGAGUCUUUGCCGAAAAGAUGCUAAAUUUAUGCUCUUUGGUAUCGCCCAAGGAUGAGGCCGCGACCGAUCAGGUUGUUGGUGAGGUAAUGGCUCACCAAGCCUUUUACCGGUGCGGGCCGUGAGAGCGGGAGCCCGGAGAUGGGCAUUGAGACAAGGGCCCAGGCCCUACGGGGCGCAGCAGUCGCGAAAACUUUGCAAUACACGAAAGUGUGACAGGGUUAUCCCGAGUCCCAUCCGUUGAGGAAGGCUUUUACCCAGUCUAGAACGCUGGGGGAAUAAGGAGAGGGCAAGUCUGGUGUCAGCCGCCGCGGUAAUACCAGCUUUCCGAGUGGUGUGGAUGUUUAUUGGGCCUAAAGCAUCCGUAGCUGGUUAAGUUAGUCCCUUGUUAAAUCCACCGAAUUAAUCGUUGGAUUGCGGGGGAUACUGCUUGGCUAGGGGACGAGAGAGGCAGACGGUAUUUCCGGGGUAGGGGUGAAAUCCUAUAAUCCCGGGAAGACCACCAGUGGCGAAGGCUGUCUGCUAGAACGCGCCCGACGGUGAGGGAUGAAAGCUGGGGGAGCGAACCGGAUUAGAUACCCGGGUAGUCCCAGCUGUAAACGAUGCAGGCUAGGUGUUUGGACGGCCACGUGCCGUUCUAGUGCCGCAGGGAAGCUGUUAAGCCUGCCGCCUGGGGAGUACGAUCGCAAGAUUGAAACUUAA
RNAcentral lists this ribosomal RNA (863 nucleotides) under uncultured soil archaeon. RNAcentral's name for it is "bacterial SSU rRNA". It matches the Rfam family "Archaeal small subunit ribosomal RNA", at positions 21 to 859 of the family's 1478-position model. The record is from RNAcentral.